This 246-nucleotide ribosomal RNA is filed under the name uncultured bacterium. RNAcentral's name for it is "partial 16S ribosomal RNA". It matches the Rfam family "Bacterial small subunit ribosomal RNA", at positions 15 to 263 of the family's 1533-position model. The record is from RNAcentral.
GAUCAUGGCUCAGAUUGAACGCUGGCGGCAGGCUUAACACAUGCAAGUCGAGCGGGGAAAGGUAGCUUGCUACCUGACCUAGCGGCGGACGGGUGAGUAAUGCUUAGGAAUCUGCCUAUUAGUGGGGGACAACAUCUCGAAAGGGAUGCUAAUACCGCAUACGUCCUACGGGAGAAAGCAGGGGACCUUCGGGCCUUGCGCUAAUAGAUGAGCCUAAGUCGGAUUAGCUAGUUGGUGGGGUAAAGG